RNAcentral lists this unclassified non-coding RNA (363 nucleotides) under uncultured bacterium. RNAcentral's name for it is "contains 16S-23S intergenic spacer region". The record is from RNAcentral.
UCCCUGUUACCAGGGCAGUCUAGCUAGAAAAAUACAACUAACUAUAAGGGUUGCGCUCGUUGAAGGACUUAACCUAACAUCUCACGACACGAGCUGACGACGGCCAUGCAUCACCUGUCACCGAAUUCCUUGCGGCACAAUUUCCUUUCGGAUAUCUUCUCGGGAUGUCAAACCUGGGUAAGGUUCUUCGCUUACCAUCGAAUUAAACAACACGCUCCACCGCUUGUGCGGGUCCCCGUCAAUUCCUUUAUGUUUUAAGCUUGCGCUCGUACUCCACAGGCGGGAUGCUUAACGCGUUAGCUUCGCUACAAGAAGGGUCGAUACUCCUUACAGCUAGCAUCCAUAGUUUACGGCGUGGACUAC